RNAcentral lists this long non-coding RNA (1417 nucleotides) under Equus caballus (horse). Its description in RNAcentral is "lncRNA (ENSECAG00000048850.1)". The record is from RNAcentral. Lineage: Eukaryota; Metazoa; Chordata; Mammalia; Perissodactyla; Equidae.
AUACUGCUUUUGAUUGGACAGAAUUGGUGCCGGAGUAAGGAAGGGGCGGGCCAUCAAGGACCGAGGUGGGUGGGGCUCACGGCGGGUGUGCGGAGUGGGCGGGAAAACGUGGAGCCCGGGGAGAGGCCCCGCUGGGAGUUCUAGUUAGGCUUUGACAGUUGAUGACACCGGAAACUCCGGUAAGUCCUAUGAAAUUGCCCGCGGGAGUGUAAGUGGGUGAAAUUAGUCUUCGAAAGCAAAUUGACAAUAUGUAUCAAAUAUCCUUUGGUCCAGCAAUGCCACUUGCAAGAAUUCAAAGGACAUAAUCAAGGGUGUGCUGAAAAAGUUGUGUGACAAAGAUAUUAAUUGUAGCACUUAUAACAGCCAAAAAGCCCAAAACAAACCAACCAAAAAACUAAGGCAAUAUCCCAAAUGUUCAGCAAUGAGAGAUUGGUUAAAUAAAUUGCAACAAACUUUUAUACUUAUCAGAGUUUAUCGAGGUUUGCUGUUCCCAGGGCACCAGGCAAGGGCCAUAGGAGAAGCCUUCUCCUUCUACCACCAGUCCCUACAGUGAUUCUGACCAAGCAUGGACGCCCCGGGAAGGAAAACAACUAGGACCACAUAUAAAUAUACAAAAUCUAAAGUUUAUUCAUUCAAUUUCUUAAAUGUCCUAGUUUUUGGGGCAUACUAAGGCCCACAAAGGAGAUAUUGACAGCCCAGGGGAAGGAGGGAAUACCUCAUUCAUUUAUUCACUUAACUACUAAUUUUUAAUAAUAGCUGCUACCAUCUACCUAUUAUUGGGUACUGGGUGCCAGCACUGUGCUAAGCACUUUACAUACAUUGUCUCAUUUAAUUCUCGCAGCAAACUGUAUAAGAGACUGUGAGUGAACUCUCCGAGAGCGGGGAGACCUUGACUGGAUCUUCUGCCGCUAGCAUGGGGCCUGGCAGCUAGUGGUCAUAAUGAAAGCUGGCAUUUGAUGGUGAAGCACCAGGCAUGGCGCUCAAUGCUUUACACAUAGUAAAUCAUUUAAUCUGCAUGACAACUUGAGGAGAUGGCUUGUUCUAGAGGAGGCCAUGUCUUGAGCAUCCCUGUGGAGAAGUCAACGUGGCAAGGAACUGAAUCCUCCUGCCAACAGCUGUGUGAGUGAGCUUGCUGUGAGCGGACCCUUCAGCCCCAGUUACAGCCUUCACGUGUCUACAGCCUUGGCUGACUUCCUGACUACAAACUCCUGUGAGACCCUGAAGCGGGCCACCCAGCUAAGCAGCCUCCUGAUUCCAGACUCUCAGAAACCGUGUGAGAUAAUAAAUGUUUGUUGUUUUAAGCCAUUAUGUUUUAGGAGUUAUUUGUUUUGUAGCUAUAAAUGACAAGCACAAUAUUUCAAUAAACUAAACAUAUGGGGAAACAUCUUCUCUGUCCUCCUGGCCCAGAUGGCUUUCC